Molecule: ribosomal RNA, 516 nt
Filed under: Pateena polymitarior
Lineage: Eukaryota; Metazoa; Arthropoda; Insecta; Hemiptera; Schizopteridae
Description: partial 16S ribosomal RNA
Rfam family: Bacterial large subunit ribosomal RNA (bases 379-516)
Source: RNAcentral
AAAAACAUGGUUUAUUGAUUUUUUUUUAAAUUUGUUCUGCCCAAUGAUUUAUUAAAUGGCUGCGGGAUUUUAACCGUGCGAAGGUAGCAUAAUCAUUUGUCUUUUAAUUGGAGGCUAGUAUAAAUGAAUAGAUAAAAGAUUAACUUUUUUAGUUUUAUAAUUUGAAUUUAAUUUUAAAGUUAAAAAGCUUUAAUAUUUUUAGAGGACGAGAAGACCCUAUAGAACUUUAUUAUAUAUAGUUAUAUAUAAUAAAUUAUAUAUAACUAUAUAUAAUUGUGUUGGGGUUAUGGAGAAAUUUAUUAAAUUUUCUUUUUUUUAUUUCAAUAUUUUUUGAUUUUUUGAUCCUAUAUAUAGAUUUUAAGAUAAAGUUACCUUAGGGAUAACAGCGUUAUUUAAUUGGAGAGUUCAUAUUGAUAAUUAAGAUUGCGACCUCGAUGUUGAAUUAAAAUUUGAGUUAGAUGCAGAAGUUUAAUUUCUUGGUCUGUUCGACCAUUAAAGUUUUACAUGAUCUGAGUU